RNAcentral lists this ribosomal RNA (468 nucleotides) under uncultured bacterium. RNAcentral's name for it is "partial 16S ribosomal RNA". It matches the Rfam family "Bacterial small subunit ribosomal RNA", at positions 28 to 507 of the family's 1533-position model. The record is from RNAcentral.
GACGAACGCUGGCGGCGGGCUUAACACAUGCAAGUCGAACGGAAAGGCCCUGCUUGUGUGGGGUGCUCGAGUGGCGAACGGGUGAGUAACACGUGAGUAACCUGCCCUUGACUUUGGGAUAACUUCAGGAAACUGGGGCUAAUACCGGAUAGGAGCUCCUGCUGCAUGGUGGGGGUUGGAAAGUUUCGGCGGUUGGGGAUGGACUCGCGGCUUAUCAGCUUGUUGGUGGGGUAGUGGCUUACCAAGGCUUUGACGGGUAGCCGGCCUGGGAGGGUGACCGGCCACAUUGGGACUGCGGUACGGCCCAGACUCCUACGGGAGGCAGCAGUGGGGAAUAUUGCACAAUGGGCGGAAGCCUGAUGCAGCAACGCCGCGUGCGGGAUGACGGCCUUCGGGUUGUAAACCGCUUUCGCCUGUGACGAAGCGUGAGUGACGGUAAUGGGUAAAGAAGCACCGGCUAACUACGUG